This 987-nucleotide non-coding RNA is filed under the name Tychaedon coryphoeus (Karoo scrub-robin). Its description in RNAcentral is "Cercotrichas coryphoeus (Karoo scrub-robin) 12S ribosomal RNA". It matches the Rfam family "Bacterial small subunit ribosomal RNA". The record is from RNAcentral. Lineage: Eukaryota; Metazoa; Chordata; Aves; Passeriformes; Muscicapidae.
AAAAGACUUAGUCCUAACCUUACUGUUGGUUGUUGCUAGGUUUAUACAUGCAAGUAUCCGCGCCCCAGUGUAGAUGCCCUGGACACCUUAAACCCCAAGUAGAUAGGAGCAGGUAUCAGGCUCACCACCAAACCGUAGCCCAAGACGCCUAGCAAUUGCCACGUCCCCACGGAUUCUCAGCAGUAGUCAACAUUAAGCAAUGAGUGUAAACUUGACUUAGCCAUAGCAAACCUUUAGAAUCGGUAAAUCCUGUGCCAGCCACCGCGGUCAUACAGGAGAUUCAAAUCAACUUUAUAACGGCGUAAAGAGUGGUCACAUGUUAUCCAAGUAACUAAGAUUAAAAAGCAACUGAGCUGUCAUAAGCCCAAGAUGCUCAUAAGGCCUCUACCCUCAAAGAAAAUCUUAGAACAACGAUCAAUUGAACUCCACGAAAGCCAGGGCCCAAACUGGGAUUAGAUACCCCACUAUGCCUGGCCCUAAAUCUUGAUGUUCCACCCUACUUGAACAUCCGCCCGAGAACUACGAGCACAAACGCUUAAAACUCUAAGGACUUGGCGGUGCCUCAAACCCACCUAGAGGAGCCUGUUCUGUAAUCGAUGAUCCACGAUAUUACCUGACCAUUUCUUGCACGAAACAGCCUAUAUACCGCCGUCGCCAGCUCACCUUCCCUGACGGCCUAACAGUGAGCGCAAUAGCCCCAUCACGCUAGUAAGACAGGUCAAGGUAUAGCCUAUGGAAUGGAAGCAAUGGGCUACAUUUUCUAAACUAGAACAUUACGGCAAAGGGACUUGAAACUGUCCCUGGAAGGAGGAUUUAGCAGUAAAGUGGGACAAUCGAGCCCUCUUUAAGCCGGCUCUGGGGCACGUACAUACCGCCCGUCACCCUCCUCGCAAGCGACCAAAACACCCUAUAACUAAUAAGCUAUUCAGCUAAAGAGGAGGUAAGUCGUAACAAGGUAAGUGUACCGGAAGGUGUACUUAGACUACC